Molecule: ribosomal RNA, 394 nt
Filed under: uncultured Anaeromyxobacter sp.
Lineage: Bacteria; Pseudomonadati; Myxococcota; Myxococcia; Myxococcales; Anaeromyxobacteraceae
Description: bacterial SSU rRNA
Rfam family: Bacterial small subunit ribosomal RNA
Source: RNAcentral
CGAGAAAGCCCGCAAGGGUGAGUAAAGCGGCGCACGGGUGAGUAACACGUGGGUAAUCUGCCCUAGAGUCCGGAAUAACUCGCCGAAAGGCGUGCUAAUGCCGGAUGAGACCACGGGAGCCUCGGCUCCUGCGGGAAAAGGUGGCCUCUGUACACAAGCUAUCACUCUAGGAUGAGCCCGCGGCCCAUCAGCUCGUUGGCGGGGUAAUGGCCCACCAAGGCUACGACGGGUAGCUGGUCUGAGAGGACGAUCAGCCACACUGGAACUGAGACACGGUCCAGACUCCUACGGGAGGCAGCAGUGGGGAAUCUUGCGCAAUGGGCGAAAGCCUGACGCAGCAACGCCGCGUGUGUGAUGAAGGUCUUCGGAUCGUAAAGCACUGUCGCGAGGGACG